UACGUAGGUGGCAAGCGUUGUUCGGAAUUAUUGGGCGUAAAGGGCGCGUAGGCGGUUUGCUAAGUCAGUUGUGAAAGCCCGGGGCUCAACCCCGGAGGGUCGGCUGAUACUGGUGGACUAGAGUACGGAAGAGGUAGCUGGAAUUCCCGGUGUAGCGGUGAAAUGCGCAGAUAUCGGGAGGAACACCUAUGGCGAAGGCAGCUCGCUGGGACGUUACUGACGCUGAGACGCGAAAGCGUGGAGAGCAAACAGG
RNAcentral lists this ribosomal RNA (253 nucleotides) under uncultured bacterium. Its description in RNAcentral is "partial 16S ribosomal RNA". It matches the Rfam family "Bacterial small subunit ribosomal RNA", at positions 524 to 776 of the family's 1533-position model. The record is from RNAcentral.